RNAcentral lists this ribosomal RNA (233 nucleotides) under uncultured Florenciella. RNAcentral's name for it is "partial Bacterial small subunit ribosomal RNA". It matches the Rfam family "Bacterial small subunit ribosomal RNA", at positions 681 to 908 of the family's 1533-position model. Lineage: Eukaryota; Dictyochophyceae; Florenciellales. The record is from RNAcentral.
GUGAAAUGCGUAGAUAUUCAUGGGAACGCCAAUGGCGAAGGCAACUGACUGGGCUUGUUCUGACGCUCAGGUACGAAAGCGUGGGUAGCGAACGGGAUUAGAUACCCCGGUAGUCCACGCCGUAAACGAUGCACACUAGGUCGCGGUACCUCUCAUGGUUUCGCGGCCGAAGGUAAACUGAUUAGUGUGCCGCCUGGGGAGUACGGUCGCAAGGCGGAAGAAAAGUUGAAGGA